CUACGUAGGGGGCAAGCGUUGUCCGGAAUUAUUGGGCGUAAAGAGCGUGUAGGCGGUCCGGUAAGUCGGCUGUGAAAGUCCAGGGCUCAACCUUGGGAUGCCGGUCGAUACUGCCGGACUAGAGUUCGGAAGAGGCGAGUGGAAUUCCCGGUGUAGCGGUGAAAUGCGCAGAUAUCGGGAGGAACACCUAUGGCGAAGGCAGCUCGCUGGGACGUUACUGACGCUGAGACGCGAAAGCGUGGGGAGCAAACAGGAUUAGAUACCCUGGUAGUCCACGCCGUAAACGGUGGGUGCUAGGUGUAGGCGGUAUUCCACGCCGUCUGUGCCGCAGCUAACGCAUUAAGCACCCCGCCUGGGGAGUACGGCCGCAAGGCUAAAACUCAAAUGAAUUGACGGGG
Molecule: ribosomal RNA, 398 nt
Filed under: uncultured bacterium
Lineage: Bacteria
Description: partial 16S ribosomal RNA
Rfam family: Bacterial small subunit ribosomal RNA
Source: RNAcentral